CUAGAGAGAGAAGGAUCUGGCUGCCCAGGAAGCUGAGGCCCGGGAAGACGGAUCAGCCCCUGAUGUGACUGGGGCUGCAGAGCUGGAUCAUAGAUUUCCUUCUGCCCCGUGAAGCUCUUUCAGCGGUUCCCAGCGCAGCUGCAGAUGAAAGUCUUUAAACAACGAGCGAUGGUGCGAUUGCACCUUGGUGCUUUCCCAGGCACACCUGCACUGGGACGUCUCGUGCUGCGUCACCCCAUGUGCCAGCAGCCACUGCUUCCCGGUCGCCGUGUUUGUACUGAGACUGCCUGAAGGAAUGUUCCUCCUCGGCGUUGCGGAGAGGCUGGGUUCGCUGACACCCCGUUAGCCUCCCCAGGCUUCUGGACCAGGCUGGUCCCAUUUGGGGGCAGUGUGUGGAAUCCCAGCAGCCAUGAUGUCUCGGUAAUCUUGGUCAGGUUUGUCACUUUCCAUCCCUGCUGUGGAUUAGAAGCAGAGGUAAUUUGCAGAUGACAAAUAUUCCCAGCAGUAAAU
Mauremys reevesii (Reeves's turtle) is the source of this 510-nucleotide long non-coding RNA. RefSeq lists it as uncharacterized. The record is from RefSeq and is a predicted model, not a curated record. The transcript is spliced from 3 exons. NCBI's taxonomy places the organism in Eukaryota, Metazoa, Chordata, Testudines, Geoemydidae.